AAAAAAUGCAAACCCUGAGUUUCCGUGUCUAACUUUAACUGUUCAUCUUAUAUGAAAUUUUUUUAUAAUUCGUAUUUUCAUUGUUGUUAGAUGAUAAAACAUGAUUAAUAUUUUAUGCGUGACUUGUCUUUUUAAUUUUUUCAUAUUUUUUUCAAAUAAGACGGACGGUCAAACGUUGGGCACGGAAACCAGGGUUUGUCUUUUU
RNAcentral lists this microRNA precursor (205 nucleotides) under Oryza glumipatula. Its description in RNAcentral is "MIR812 microRNA precursor family". It matches the Rfam family "MIR812 microRNA precursor family". The record is from Rfam by way of RNAcentral. Lineage: Eukaryota; Viridiplantae; Streptophyta; Magnoliopsida; Poales; Poaceae.